ACUUUGGUGUAGUUGGAUAGUGUUGGGUUUGGACUACUCAGAGGUCGUGGGUUCGAAUCCCACUCAGGGAA
RNAcentral lists this transfer RNA (71 nucleotides) under Meloidogyne enterolobii. RNAcentral describes it as "tRNA-Pro". The record is from RNAcentral. Lineage: Eukaryota; Metazoa; Nematoda; Chromadorea; Rhabditida; Meloidogynidae.